RNAcentral lists this microRNA (21 nucleotides) under Aedes aegypti (yellow fever mosquito). RNAcentral's name for it is "Aae-Mir-2-P1-v2_5p* (star (passenger))". The record is from RNAcentral. Lineage: Eukaryota; Metazoa; Arthropoda; Insecta; Diptera; Culicidae.
GCAUCAAAUUUGGUUGUUUUA